RNAcentral lists this transfer RNA (76 nucleotides) under Vulcanimicrobiaceae bacterium. Its description in RNAcentral is "tRNA-Arg". It matches the Rfam family "tRNA". Rfam says of the family: Transfer RNA (tRNA) molecules are approximately 80 nucleotides in length. Their secondary structure includes four short double-helical elements and three loops (D, anti-codon, and T loops). The record is from RNAcentral. Lineage: Bacteria; Bacillati; Vulcanimicrobiota; Vulcanimicrobiia; Vulcanimicrobiales; Vulcanimicrobiaceae.
GCGCCCGUAGCUCAACAUUGGAUAGAGCAAGGCACUCCUAAGGCCGAGGUUGUGAGUUCGAGUCUCACCGGGCGCA